RNAcentral lists this ribosomal RNA (1017 nucleotides) under Rosellinia necatrix. RNAcentral's name for it is "partial large subunit ribosomal RNA". It matches the Rfam family "Eukaryotic large subunit ribosomal RNA", at positions 46 to 1094 of the family's 3401-position model. The record is from RNAcentral. Lineage: Eukaryota; Fungi; Ascomycota; Sordariomycetes; Xylariales; Xylariaceae.
UCAUGCGGAGUAAGACCAACAGGGAUUGCCUCAGUAACGGCGAGUGAAGCGGCAACAGCUCAAAUUUGAAAUCUGGCCCUCGGGUCCGAGUUGUAAUUUGUAGAGGAUGCUUUUGGCGCGGUGCCUUCCGAGUUCCCUGGAACGGGACGCCUUAGAGGGUGAGAGCCCCGUACGGUUGGACACCAAGCCUCUGUAAAGCUCCUUCGACGAGUCGAGUAGUUUGGGAAUGCUGCUCUAAAUGGGAGGUAAAUUUCUUCUAAAGCUAAAUAUUGGCCAGAGACCGAUAGCGCACAAGUAGAGUGAUCGAAAGAUGAAAAGCACUUUGAAAAGAGGGUUAAAUAGCACGUGAAAUUGUUGAAAGGGAAGCGUUUGCGACCAGACCUUUUCCUGGCGGAUCAUCCGGUGUUCUCACCGGUGCACUUCGCCAGGUCGAGGCCAGCAUCGGUUUCCGCGGGGGGAUAAAAGCUCUGGGAACGUAGCUCCUCCGGGAGUGUUAUAGCCCUCUGCACAAUACCCCCGCGGGGACCGAGGACCGCGCUCUAAGCAAGGAUGCUGGCGUAAUGGUUGUCAACGACCCGUCUUGAAACACGGACCAAGGAGUCGAACAUUUGUGCGAGUGUUUGGGUGUCAAACCCUCACGCGUAAUGAAGGUGAACGUAGGUGAGAGCCCUUACGGGUGCAUCAUCGACCGAUCCUGAUGUCUUCGGAUGGAUUUGAGUAAGAGCAUAACUGUUCGGACCCGAAAGAUGGUGAACUAUGCGUGGAUAGGGUGAAGCCAGAGGAAACUCUGGUGGAGGCUCGCAGCGGUUCUGACGUGCAAAUCGAUCGUCAAAUCUGCGCAUGGGGGCGAAAGACUUAUCGAACCAUCUAGUAGCUGGUUACCGCCGAAGUUUCCCUCAGAUAGCAGUGUUGUUCUUCAGUUUUAUGAGGUAAAGCGAAUGAUUAGGGACUCGGGGGCGCUUUUUUGCCUUCAUCCAUUCUCAAACUUUAAAUAUGUAAGAAGCCCUUGUUACUUUA